GCCCUAUGGGUUGUAAACUUCUUUUGUAUGGGAAGAAAAGCAGUUACGUGUAAUUGUCUGCCGGUACCAUACGAAUAAGGAUCGGCUAACUCCGUGCCAGCAGCCGCGGUAAUACGGAGGAUCCAAGCGUUAUCCGGAUUUAUUGGGUUUAAAGGGUGCGUAGGCGGCUCUAUAAGUCAGUAGUGAAAUCUCGAAGCUCAACUUCGAACGUGCUAUUGAAACUGUAGAGCUUGAGUACAGACGAGGCAGGCGGAAUGUGUUGUGUAGCGGUGAAAUGCUUAGAUAUAACACAGAACACCGAUAGCGAAGGCAGCUUGCCAGACUGUAACUGACGCUGAGGCACGAAAGCGCGGGGAGCGAACAGGAUUAGAUACCCUGGUAGUCCACGCCGUAAACGAUGAUUACUGGUUGUAGGCGAUAUAUUGUCUGUGACUGAGCGAAAGUAUUAAGUAAUCCACCUGGGGAGUACGUCGGCAACGAUGAAACUCAAAGGAAUUGACGGGGGCCCGCACAAGCGGAGGAACAUGUGGUUUAAUUCGAUGAUACGCGAGGAACCUUACCUGGACUUAAAUGUAGAUUGCAUAGAGUGGAGACAUUCUUUUCUUCGGACUAUCUACAAGGUGCUGCAUGGUUGUCGUCAGCUCGUGCCGUGAGGUGUCGGGUUAAGUCCCAUAACGAGCGCAACCCCUAUCGUUAGUUGCUAGCAGGUAAUGCUGAGAACUCUAGCGAGACUGCCACCGUAAGGUGUGAGGAAGGUGGGGAUGACGUCAAAUCAGCACGGCCCUUACGUCCAGGGCUACACACGUGUUACAAUGGCAGGUACAAAGGGCAGCUACAUAGCGAUAUGAUGCUAAUCUCAAAAACCUGUCUCAGUUCGGAUAGGAGUCUGCAACUCGACUCCUUGAAGCUGGAUUCGCUAGUAAUCGUAUAUCAGCAAUGAUACGGUGAAUACGUUCCCGGGCCUUGUACACACCGCCCGUCAAGCCAUGGAAGUUAGGGGUACCUAAAGUACGUAACCGCAAGGAUCGUCCUAGGGUAAAACUGGUAACUGGGGCUAAGUCGUAACAAGGUAGCCGUACCGGAAGGUGUGGCUGGAACACCUCCUUUCU
RNAcentral lists this ribosomal RNA (1109 nucleotides) under uncultured Marinilabiliaceae bacterium. RNAcentral's name for it is "bacterial SSU rRNA". It matches the Rfam family "Bacterial small subunit ribosomal RNA", at positions 413 to 1533 of the family's 1533-position model. Lineage: Bacteria; Pseudomonadati; Bacteroidota; Bacteroidia; Marinilabiliales; Marinilabiliaceae. The record is from RNAcentral.